Asterophora parasitica is the source of this 101-nucleotide non-coding RNA. The record is from the annotation of a GenBank genome assembly. NCBI's taxonomy places the organism in Eukaryota, Fungi, Basidiomycota, Agaricomycetes, Agaricales, Lyophyllaceae.
GCAUUAAUGUGGUAGUGGUAACCUGGGUCAUUGCCAUGUUUCGUCUAGUUAUUCGCAGAUGUCGUCUCGACCCGCCGGGAGUUCGAUUCUCUCUUAAUGCA